This 1299-nucleotide ribosomal RNA is filed under the name metagenome. RNAcentral describes it as "bacterial LSU rRNA". It matches the Rfam family "Bacterial large subunit ribosomal RNA", at positions 1634 to 2925 of the family's 2925-position model. The record is from RNAcentral.
CCAUACGACCGUACCGCAAACCGACACUGGUGCGCGAGAUGAGUAUUCUAAGGCGCUUGAGAGAACUCAGGAGAAGGAACUCGGCAAAUUGACACCGUAACUUCGGAAGAAGGUGUGCCCUAUUAGUGUGAAGUGAACAACGGAGCAUGAAUGGGUUGCAAAAAAUCGGUGGCUGCGACUGUUUAUUAAAAACACAGCACUCUGCAAACACGAAAGUGGACGUAUAGGGUGUGACGCCUGCCCGGUGCUGGAAGAUUAAAUGAUGGGGUGCAAGCUCUUGAUUGAAGUCCCAGUAAACGGCGGCCGUAACGAUAACGGUCCUAAGGUAGCGAAAUUCCUUGUCGGGUAAGUUCCGACCUGCACGAAUGGCGUAACGAUGGCCACACUGUCUCCUCCUGAGACUCAGCGAAGUUGAAAUGUUUGUGAUGAUGCAAUCUCCCCGCGGAAAGACGGAAAGACCCCAUGAACCUUUACUGUAGCUUUGUAUUGGACUUUGAACAGAUCUGUGUAGGAUAGGUGGGAGGCUUUGAAGCAGGGUCGCUAGAUCUUGUGGAGCCAACGUUGAAAUACCACCCUGGUGUGUUUGAGGUUCUAACCUGGGUCCAUUAUCUGGAUCGGGGACAGUGCAUGGUAGGCAGUUUGACUGGGGCGGUCUCCUCCCAAAGCGUAACGGAGGAGUUCGAAGGUACGCUAGUUACGGUCGGACAUCGUGACGAUAGUGCAAUGGCAUAAGCGUGCUUAACUGCGAGACUGACAAGUCGAGCAGAUGCGAAAGCAGGACAUAGUGAUCCGGUGGUUCUGUAUGGAAGGGCCAUCGCUCAACGGAUAAAAGGUACUCUGGGGAUAACAGGCUGAUACCGCCCAAGAGUUCAUAUCGACGGCGGUGUUUGGCACCUCGAUGUCGGCUCAUCUCAUCCUGGGGCUGUAGCCGGUCCCAAGGGUAUGGCUGUUCGCCAUUUAAAGAGGUACGUGAGCUGGGUUUAAAACGUCGUGAGACAGUUUGGUCCCUAUCUUCCGUGGGCGCUGCAGAUUUGAGGAAGCCUGCUCCUAGUACGAGAGGACCGGAGUGGACACACCUCUGGUGUAUCGGUUGUCACGCCAGUGGCAUUGCCGAGUAGCUAAGUGUGGAAGAGAUAAACGCUGAAAGCAUCUAAGCGUGAAACUCGUUUCAAGAUGAGAUCUGCCGGGGCCUUGAGCCCCCUGAAGAGUCGUUCAAGACCAGGACGUUGAUAGGUCAGGUGUGGAAGCGCAGUAAUGCGUUAAGCUAACUGAUACUAAUUGCUCGUGCGGCUUGACCAA